UUCGGGUGGGAGUGGCAGACGGGUGAGUAACACGUGGGAACGUACCCUUUGGUUCGGGACAACUCUGGGAAACUGGAGCUAAUACCGGAUACGCCCUUUUGGGGAAAGGUUUACUGCCGAAGGAUCGGCCCGCGUCUGAUUAGCUAGUUGGUGGGGUAACGGCCUACCAAGGCGACGAUCAGUAGCUGGUCUGAGAGGAUGAUCAGCCACACUGGGACUGAGACACGGCCCAGACUCCUACGGGAGGCAGCAGUGGGGAAUAUUGGACAAUGGGCGCAAGCCUGAUCCAGCCAUGCCGCGUGAGUGAUGAAGGCCUUAGGGUUGUAAAGCUCUUUUAUCCGGGACGAUAAUGACGGUACCGGAGGAAUAAGCCCCGGCUAACUUCGUGCCAGCAGCCGCGGUAAUACGAAGGGGGCUAGCGUUGCUCGGAAUCACUGGGCGUAAAGGGCGCGUAGGCGGCGUUUUAAGUCGGGGGUGAAAGCCUGUGGCUCAACCACAGAAUGGCCUUCGAUACUGGGACGCUUGAGUCUGGUAGAGGUUGGUGGAGCUGCGAGUGUAGAGGUGAAAUUCGUAGAUAUUCGCAAGAACACCGGUGGCGAAGGCGGCCAACUGGACCGGCACUGACGCUGAGGCGCGAAA
Molecule: ribosomal RNA, 639 nt
Filed under: uncultured bacterium
Lineage: Bacteria
Description: bacterial SSU rRNA
Rfam family: Bacterial small subunit ribosomal RNA
Source: RNAcentral